This 46-nucleotide non-coding RNA is filed under the name Schistosoma mattheei. The record is from RNAcentral. Lineage: Eukaryota; Metazoa; Platyhelminthes; Trematoda; Strigeidida; Schistosomatidae.
GCAUUGCUGAAGAAUCCCACAAUAGGACAAAACGACUGUCCAGUAC